UCUUAAGUUGUAUAUAUGUGCAGAGCGCGGCGCGGGUGGUCACCUCCGCUGCUGCCGCCACCCGCCCGGCCUGCCUUUGACCCUAUGGGUCACAGACAAGGCAGGGUGAUCGCGGCAAGACCCUGAGUGAGACUAGAUGCGUUACCCAGAGGGUGCGAGGUCGAGUACCUUCCCUGUCCCAUCGCAAACCCAAAGAUCCCCGUUCCUGGAGAUUCUGAUUGAGCUGCGGCUUUAGGAAGGAAUCUGCGUUUAUGAAGGGGAUGGCACCGCAGAAUCAUUCCCCCGUGGGUGGCAUCGAUUUCGAGGGCCGCCUCAUCCUGGGGGCCAAGCCUCCACUCUUCAAGGUGCCAAGUCAACCUGAAACCCUGGGAGAGACUUGGGUCAUAGCCAAGAUGGCAGGUACCUACGGAGGGUCCCGAAAUACACUUCCCAGAAGUCCAGGCGGCAACUUCCGCUCCAGGGUGCCAAGGUAGGUCCAGACGACGCCUAGGCAACCGGGGGCGGGGCUCCCAAAGCCUGUCGUCGUGGCAACGAGUAGUGAUUGACAAGCCUCUCGCUCUAGCCCUGGGCGCUCCCGCAAGGACUGCCCGGAUUCGUUCCCCGCGCUUCCGGUCUCACUGGGGAGCCGGAAUCCCCGAGUCUGCAGCCACCGCCCCCGUCCACACGAUAGCCCUCCCGGUUAAGAGGACCCCGCCCUCACCUCUGCGCUCAGCGGGCCGCUCCGCGCUCCUGAGCACGCGCAGUCUUCGACUUCCCCCUCCCGCUGGACUACGUCUCCCAGGAUGCUCCGCGCACCAGCUCGAGCGCCUCCUUGCCCUUCCCCCACCCUCGUCCCCGUUUCUACACCCUCUCCUCCCUUCCCCUAGCGGUGGUCGCAAUGAUCAGGUCAUACUCCUGGCCGCUUCUUCCCAUGCUCCCCGCCUCGAAUCCGUGCGUCGGCAUGCGCAAGCCUCUCAGGUACAACAGACGGCAGCACCGCCUACCAGAUCGCGCAUGCCCCCCACCACGUUUUCCUCACUUCUCUACGGGCCUUCCUGAGAUUAGCAGGAUCCUGCACCAAUCACGGCCGUCAUUAGAACUCCGUCGGUGCCCCACCGCGUCUCCAUGGCAACUCCCUACAGGAAGGGGCCUCUGCUACUUCCUAGACCGCAAAAUGGAGAAAGGCUUGGCCCGAUGCUUUCCGGCAGAUGUAGUCAGCAGGCCCUUCGUGUGUACGUGCGCGCGCGGCGCGAUGACGUUCCUCUGUGAUCAUGGGCGAGGGGCGGGCCCUGAACGUCUCCAUGGUAACCUGGGGACACGACUCGACAUCGCCUGGGUAACCCGGAGACGCGGCGGGCGUUGAAAAUGCAAUGGGGCAUGUGGGAUGAAGAGGUGGGGAAGGGUACUGGGGCAGAGAGAUGCCGAUCGAUAGAAACAGCGAGGAGAGACGGAGAGAGACCAGAGACUCAAGGGCAAAGAGAGACGAAGGACCGGCGGGAGGAAGAGAGAGAGAGACAGAGAGACAGACUCACAGACUGGGAGGACCGGAGACUCGACGCGAGGAGAGACAGUGAAAAUAAGUGAACAAACAUAGAGACACGGGUCCAAGUUAUAAGAGGGCUGAGUGGAUCAGAGGGUCAGGGCCGGGCAAACAGGUGUCAGAACAGUUAGCAAGAGAGAGGCAGAUCAGAAAGGGAUGCAGAUGAAAGAGACACAAAGAAGGAAACGCAGAAUGGGUUCACAGAGACAAGAAAUGCAGAUAUCCAGACUCAAGAGGUAGACAAGAAGGGAGAGGGACAGAAACAAGAAGGGAGAAAAGGGACAGAAAUUAGAGAUACAGUAAGAUGGAUUGACAGUUUUCGAAGACCUAGAGAAAGAUGACAGCACGAAGAGAGACAGGGAGAAUCCGAGGUAAAACUGUUAGGAAAACUUAGGAGUCCAGAUGCUGUCCAGUUAUAUGCUACCCUGUACAGGUUGAUAGGUUGCAAAUGCUUUCUGUCCAGUGUAUCGCUUUGUAGCUCACUAAGCAGUUUUGUAUCCAACUUUGUGCUUUUAUUUCAGUGUUUUUCUUUUUCUUUCUUUCUUUUUUUUUUUUUUUUUUUUGACGGAGUCUCGCUGUUGCCAGACUGGAGUGCAGUGGCACGAUCUCGGCUCACUGCAACCUCCGUCUCCCAGGUUCAAGCGAUUCUCCUGCCUCAGCCUCCCGAGUAGCUGGGACUGCAGGCUGCUCCACCACACCCGGCUGAUUUUUGUAUUUUUAGUAGAGAUGGGGUUUUACCAUGUUGGCCAGACUGGUCUUGACCUCCAGACCUCUGGUGAUCCGCCCACCUCGGCCUCCCAAAUUGCUGGAAUUACAGGUGUGAGCCACCGCGGCCGGCCAGUGUUUAUUCUUCCUUUCCUGUCUUCCUAGAAUCAUCUUGCUGCUUCCCUCAGUACGGUAAAUAAAUCUUUUGACACAUGCUC
RNAcentral lists this long non-coding RNA (2442 nucleotides) under Homo sapiens (human). RNAcentral describes it as "HSALNT0399072". Lineage: Eukaryota; Metazoa; Chordata; Mammalia; Primates; Hominidae. The record is from RNAcentral.